This 253-nucleotide ribosomal RNA is filed under the name uncultured bacterium. RNAcentral describes it as "partial 16S ribosomal RNA". It matches the Rfam family "Bacterial small subunit ribosomal RNA", at positions 524 to 776 of the family's 1533-position model. The record is from RNAcentral.
UACGGGGGGGGCAAGCGUUGUUCGGAAUUACUGGGCGUAAAGGGUCCGUAGGUGGCUCGCUAAGUCAGACGUGAAAUCCCUCGGCUUAACCGGGGAACUGCGUCUGAGACUGAUGAGCUUGAGUGCAGGAGAGGAACGCGGAAUUCCAGGUGUAGCGGUGAAAUGCGUAGAUAUCUGGAGGAACACCGGUGGCGAAGGCGGCGUUCUGGACUGCAACUGACACUGAAAGACGAAAGCCAGGGGAGCAAACGGG